UACAGAGGGUGCGAGCGUUGUCCGGAAUCACUGGGCGUAAAGGGCGCGUAGGUGGCCACCAUAAGGCCGCGGUGAAAGUCUGGGGCUCAACCCCGGAUCGGCCGCGGCGACUGUGGGGCUUGGGUACCGUAGAGGCAGAUGGAAUUCCGGGUGUAGCGGUGGAAUGCGUAGAGAUCGGGUGGAACACCAGCGGCGAAGGCGGCAUCCUGGCCCUGUACUGACGCUGAGGCGCGAUAGCGUGGGGAGCAAACGGG
This 254-nucleotide ribosomal RNA is filed under the name uncultured bacterium. RNAcentral describes it as "partial 16S ribosomal RNA". It matches the Rfam family "Bacterial small subunit ribosomal RNA", at positions 524 to 776 of the family's 1533-position model. The record is from RNAcentral.